RNAcentral lists this ribosomal RNA (455 nucleotides) under uncultured bacterium. RNAcentral's name for it is "bacterial SSU rRNA". It matches the Rfam family "Bacterial small subunit ribosomal RNA", at positions 28 to 480 of the family's 1533-position model. The record is from RNAcentral.
GAUGAACGCUGGCGGCGUGCCUAAUACAUGCAAGUCGAACGCUUCACUUCGGUGAAGAGUGGCGAACGGGUGAGUAAUACAUAAGUAACCUGGCAUCUACAGGGGGAUAACUGAUGGAAACGUCAGCUAAGACCGCAUAGGUGUAGAGAUCGCAUGAACUCUAUAUGAAAAGUGCUACGGGACUGGUAGAUGAUGGACUUAUGGCGCAUUAGCUUGUUGGUAGGGUAACGGCCUACCAAGGCGACGAUGCGUAGCCGACCUGAGAGGGUGACCGGCCACACUGGGACUGAGACACGGCCCAGACUCCUACGGGAGGCAGCAGUAGGGAAUUUUCGGCAAUGGGGGAAACCCUGACCGAGCAACGCCGCGUGAAGGAAGAAGUAAUUCGUUAUGUAAACUUCUGUCAUAGAGGAAGAACGGUGGAUGUAGGGAAUGAUAUCCAAGUGACGGUACUG